GAAAUGAUAGUUAAGGCCAUGGUAUAUGGGGUUUUGAGAGUGAUUCAUAUAUUCAUGAAGUCUAUGGUGCUAAAACGAAACUGAUGUUUCAAAAAGUUCUCCAAAGUCACCACAUCCUAACUCAAACCUGUCUUAAAGCCCAAAAACUUUCAGAACAACACCGUUUUCUUUUGCAAAAAUUUUUUUUGUAGGGCUAAAGGAAUGUGGAGAUGAGGAUGUACUAAAGAUACAAU
This 233-nucleotide long non-coding RNA is filed under the name Lathyrus oleraceus (garden pea). Its description in RNAcentral is "Pisum sativum (pea) long non-coding RNA (PSAT_LNC033781)". Lineage: Eukaryota; Viridiplantae; Streptophyta; Magnoliopsida; Fabales; Fabaceae. The record is from RNAcentral.